UAAAGACUCCUACGGGAGGCAGCAGUGGGGAAUAUUGCACAAUGGGCGCAAGCCUGAUGCAGCCAUGCCGCGUGUGUGAAGAAGGCCUUCGGGUUGUAAAGCACUUUCAGCGAGGAGGAAAGCUUGAUGGUUAAUACCCAUCAGGUGUGACGUUACUCGCAGAAGAAGGACCGGCUAACUCCGUGCCAGCAGCCGCGGUAAUACGGAGGGUCCGAGCGUUAAUCGGAAUUACUGGGCGGCUAAAGCGUACGCAGGCGGUCAUUUAAGUCAGAUGUGAAAGCCCCGGGCUCAACCUGGGAACUGCAUUUGAAACUGGAUGACUAGAGUGCGACAGAGGGUGGUAGAAUUUCAGGUGUAGCGGUGAAAUGCGUAGAGAUCUGAAGGAAUACCAAUGGCGAAGGCAGCCACCUGGGUCGACACUGACGCUCAUGUACGAAAGCGUGGGUAGCAAACAGGAUUAGAUACCCUGGUAGUCCACGCCGUAAACGAUGUCUACUAGCAGCUUGGCGCUUAAGCGCUGUUUUGCGAAGCUAACGCGAUAAGUAGACCGCCUGGGGAGUACGGCCGCAAGGUUAAAACUCAAAUGAAUUGACGGGGGCCCGCACAAGCGGUGGAGCAUGUGGUUUAAUUCGAUGCAACGCGAAGAACCUUACCAUCUCUUGACAUCCAGAGAAUUUAGUAGAGAUACUUUAGUGCCUUCGGGAACUCCGGUGAGACAGGUGCUGCAUGGCUGUCGUCAGCUCGUGUUGUGAAAUGUUGGGUUAAGUCCCGCAACGAGCGCAACCCUUAUCCUUAGUUGCUAGCAGGUUAUGCUGAGAACUCUAAGGAGACUGCCGGUGACAAACCGGAGGAAGGUGGGGACGAUAGAGUUUUAUCAUGGCCCUUACGAGAUGGGCUACACACGUGCUACAAUGGCAAGUACAAAGGGUUGCAAACUCGCGAGAGUAAGCGGAUCCCAUAAAGCUUGUCGUAGUCCGGAUUGGAGUCUGCAACUCGACUCCAUGAAGUCGGAAUCGCUAGUAAUCGUGGAUCAGAAUGCCACGGUGAAUACGUUCCCGGGCCUUGUACACACCGCCCGUCACACCAUGGGAGUGGGCUGCAAAAGGCAUU
RNAcentral lists this ribosomal RNA (1110 nucleotides) under Psychrosphaera saromensis. RNAcentral's name for it is "bacterial SSU rRNA". It matches the Rfam family "Bacterial small subunit ribosomal RNA", at positions 330 to 1431 of the family's 1533-position model. Lineage: Bacteria; Pseudomonadati; Pseudomonadota; Gammaproteobacteria; Alteromonadales; Pseudoalteromonadaceae. The record is from RNAcentral.